This 164-nucleotide long non-coding RNA is filed under the name Mus spicilegus (steppe mouse). Its description in RNAcentral is "lncRNA (ENSMSIG00000025562.1)". Lineage: Eukaryota; Metazoa; Chordata; Mammalia; Rodentia; Muridae. The record is from RNAcentral.
CUCAGUGGCGCUAAUGGUUUUGGGGAGCUGGUAGGACAAGGCUGCGAGUCUUUGAGGUGGAGCCACAGUUCUUUGCUUUGUUCAGCUUUCUGAGAGAGUCCAAGAGAAAGUAGCUGUAAGCUUCUCCCUAUCCCCAGAGACCACAGUUUAGGGAGUCUGCAGCC